AGAUUGAACGCUGGCGGCAUGCCUAACACAUGCAAGUCGAACGGCAGCGCGGGUAGCAAUACCUGGCGGCGAGUGGCGGACGGGUGAGGAAUACAUAGGAAUCUACCCUGUCGUGGGGGAUAACGUAGGGAAACUUACGCUAAUACCGCAUACGACCGAGAGGUGAAAGCGGCGGACCGCAAGGCGUCGCGCGGCUGGAUGAGCCUAUGCCGAUUAGCUAGUUGGCGGGUAAGAGCCCACCAAGGCGACGAUCGGUAGC
Molecule: ribosomal RNA, 259 nt
Filed under: uncultured soil bacterium
Lineage: Bacteria
Description: partial 16S ribosomal RNA
Rfam family: Bacterial small subunit ribosomal RNA
Source: RNAcentral